GCUAUACUAGCGCAACUUGCCUUACGCAUUCAGUUGUCGGCGAUCUGACGUUUCAUUUUUAUUUUAAUUUCGUGGUAGCGUUAAUCGUUUUGACGUUUCGUUUUUAUUGUAGUAAUUCUGAAAUGGAAAGGGAGCUAACGGAAUCGAGGAAAGAAAUCUUGAAAAAGAAACGGAGAGAAAGGGAGGGUUUUAAGCAUAGGAUAGUGAUUGGGAAGAAACUAAAGCCGGCGCUAGGAUGUACGUUCUUUAUUCAUCCACGUUCCUUAUUAAAUCCAGGCCUGCACUGGUAUUGAAGAUGUGGAAGAAGCGUUCAUGCACUUGGAAGAUGCAAACUGGGACCUAUCAGAUGCUGUAUAUCGUUUGCUACCAUAGGGCAGCCAAGAACUGCCAUCCAUGCCUCUACUUCUACUCGAUGAUAGUUUUUAGGUGAUAGAAGAAAGGAUUCUAUCACCAGGAUUAGAGGUAAUCGGACCUCCUUCCUCACCACCUAAUUUAGCUCAAUUGUUACAACCAAGUCCGCUUGCCUCUAUGAGCAGAGAAUUUCUACCAAGACGAUCAAGAAUACCUAACUUCUCAAUAGUUUUAAAUGAUACGACAAUCCUGAUUUUGGUUCCUGAGACUGAAGCUGUUGGUAUGAUCAAGACAUUGAUAUGCUCAGAACUUGGAAUACCAGUCUGUAAACAGGACCUAUCAGGUUGGAAACUAGACAGGCAACCCAGGGAUACCACUAUUUUGGAAUCACUCAACCUCCCAAAAGAGAACACCCUGUACUUAUCUGUGAAUACUGAUGAAAGGGAUGCAGCUACUUAAGAGAGUGUUUCGCGGAUGACCCAAACUUAUCGGCUCAGCAUAUUUGACAUUACGCACGAUCAGACCUAUACCAUCAAUUUCCCUGGCACGAAGACGUAAUUAGAAGUCAAACGAGACGUAUCAGAUCUGACCAGCAUUCCCGUACGCAAUCAAUCAUGGAGUGGUUGGCCGCCACUACUUACUGACGAUCUGAUACUAGGAGCCUCUGGAAUCAACUUAGUGCAUGAACUAACCGUCAAAGAGUUGGUUAAAGAGAUUAAUCGACCACCCGAAGUUGUACCUCUACCCGGAGGCAGUAAUAGUGAACCUGUCUUUGAUGAUGGCAGCACAGCCGACGAAUAUGAAGAUGCCACAGAUGUCGUAAUGGAAGACAUGUUUCUCCGUGAACCGACCCCCUCCCGUCUACAACCAUUAAUGCCGGAAGGGUCGUUAGACGAUGCUAUGAGAGAAGCAUGUCACCAACCGGCCCGUGAUGUACGUACACGAACAUUUCACUACUUUCUGACUAUUUUAAUUCUUUGUUUGAUCAUUUUUAAACGGGGAAAGUUACUUGCAGUUUAUUUGCAUCACGACGGUUCCGUUUCAAGUAAUGUUUUUUGCACUCAAGUCCUUUGUUAAAAAACAUAGCUAUCAGCCUAUAACCUAUCGGAUGUAACAGAUAGCAGAAGAGGCUUCUUUUUUACCAUAAAUACAUAAUGGCCGCUGCUACAUUUGUUUUUUCAGUGAUGAUGAUUUAGAAGAAGACGGCCGGUUCGAUAACCACCAAACUAGUGUCGUGAUUGGCAAAAAUCUAAAAAGAUCAUUCCAACAUCUUAGGGGAAAGAAAAAGAAAUCUGUGCGUUACAUUCCUGGCCCAAAUAAACCUCCCCAUAAUAGGAAAACUAUGGAAUCAAGGAUAGCGUCACUUAAAUAUUUAAUCAACCAAUUAUUUCACGAGGACAAUUGCCACAUUGUAGCCUUUAUUGCCCAAGAAAAUGAAGUUAAGUGGUCACCUGAUUUGAUACUUCCAGAAAAUGUUCCAGCACCCAUUCUCAAAAGAACAAAGGAAGGAAAGAAAAACUUGGGUCCCAUACUGGAGUUCGUUGAAACUCCAGAAGUUGAAGCUGCAAAGAAAUUGUGGAUUGAUAUCUACAAUGAAAAACAGGCUAUUCGUGAAAAAACACCCGAGUGGAUUCAAGCAAAAUAUGAAAGAUUGGAAACAAUCCGGUCAAAAAGAGAGGAAAUUAAAAGGAAACAACUUGAAGCAGCUAACUCCACUGUGACAAACUUGUCGUCCAUCUCUUUUUCAGUGCAAGAAAGUGAAACCCUGCCCAGCAACAUCAUUUCACCGGAUAAUAACUUGAGAUUUUUGGGCGGUGAGAGUAUCAUUGCGGAAGAAACCGCAAACAAUGCCGAACUCUCACAUCAACUUCCAUUACCAAAUGAAAUGGCCUCAUCUUCCAGCAGAGCAACACCUCCAAUUAACUAUGCCAAAAAAAGAAGAAGUCAGGAAAUUGACAAAGUUUUUUCGUGGCGGGGUAAAAUGUAUUUCUGGUGCCCGUUCGCCAAACCAAGCGCUAAGUACGUCAUAGCGGCUUCCUUUCCAAAAGACGCCAGGGUCAUCAAUCUUCCUGAAGAUCCAGCAAACUUAACAAGCUGCUAUGUCGACGAAUGACACGCAAGAUGUGAGACCCACCUGAUUGUGUUCACUUAACUUUAAUUUUGUUCGAUGAAGUUAGGGAAGAUACAGAAAAAAAAAUGCCCACCCUUAUGUAUCCUGCUAAUCCAGCCUGAAAUGUCGUUAUGCCAUUAAUAUCGCCGAUUCGUACUACUCAGUAUUUAUGUUUCAUCAAAAGGAAUAAAUAAAGAAAAACGAAAUGAAUUUUAAAAACA
Molecule: unclassified non-coding RNA, 2682 nt
Filed under: Daphnia magna
Lineage: Eukaryota; Metazoa; Arthropoda; Branchiopoda; Diplostraca; Daphniidae
Description: uncharacterized LOC116931806, transcript variant X1
Source: RNAcentral